UGAACGCUGGCGGCGUGCCUCCUACAUGCAAGUCGCGCGAACAGACGAGGAGCUUGCUCCUCUGACGUUAGCGGCGGACGGGUGAGUAACACGUGGAUAACCUACCUAUAAGACUGGGAUAACUUCGGGAAACCGGAGCUAAUACCGGAUAAUAUAUUGAACCGCAUGGUUCAAUAGUGAAAGACGGUUUUGCUGUCACUUAUAGAUGGAUCCGCGCCGCAUUAGCUAGUUGGUAAGGUAACGGCUUACCAAGGCAACGAUGCGUAGCCGACCUGAGAGGGUGAUCGGCCACAUUGGAACUGAGACACGGUCCAGACUCCUACGGGAGGCAGCAGUAGGGAAUCUUCCGCAAUGGGCGAAAGCCUGACGGAGCAACGCCGCGUGAGUGAUGAAGGUCUUCGGAUCGUAAAACUCUGUUAUUAGGGAAGAACAAAUGUGUAAGUAACUAUGCACGUCUUGACGGUACCUAAUCAGAAAGCCACGGCUAACUACGUG
Molecule: ribosomal RNA, 495 nt
Filed under: uncultured bacterium
Lineage: Bacteria
Description: partial 16S ribosomal RNA
Rfam family: Bacterial small subunit ribosomal RNA
Source: RNAcentral